UAACGCGUGAGGAACCUGCCUCAAAGAGGGGGACAACAGUUGGAAACGACUGCUAAUACCGCAUAAGCCCACGGCUCGGCAUCGAGCAGAGGGAAAAGGAGCAAUCCGCUUUGAGAUGGCCUCGCGUCCGAUUAGCUAGUUGGUGAGGUAACGGCCCACCAAGGCGACGAUCGGUAGCCGGACUGAGAGGUUGAACGGCCACAUUGGGACUGAGACACGGCCCAGACUCCUACGGGAGGCAGCAGUGGGGAAUAUUGCACAAUGGGGGAAACCCAGAUGCAGCGACGCCGCGUGGAGGAAGAAGGUCUUCGGAUUGUAAACUCCUGUUGUUGAGGAAGAUAAUGACAGUACUCAACAAGGAAGUGACGGCUAACUACGUGCCAGCAGCCGCGGUAAAACGUAGGUCACAAGCGUUGUCCGGAAUUACUGGGUGUAAAGGGAGCGCAGGCGGGAAGACAAGUUGGAAGUGAAAUCUAUGGGCUCAACCCAUAAACUGCUUUCAAAACUGUUUUUCUUGAGUAGUGCAGAGGUAGGCGGAAUUCCCGGUGUAGCGGUGGAAUGCGUAGAUAUCGGGAGGAACACCAGUGGCGAAGGCGGCCUACUGGGCACCAACUGACGCUGAGGCUCGAAAGUGUGGGUAGCAGACAGGAUUAGAUACCCUGGUAGUCCACACCGUAAACGAUGAUUACUAGGUGU
This 696-nucleotide ribosomal RNA is filed under the name uncultured bacterium. RNAcentral describes it as "bacterial SSU rRNA". It matches the Rfam family "Bacterial small subunit ribosomal RNA", at positions 111 to 823 of the family's 1533-position model. The record is from RNAcentral.